Molecule: long non-coding RNA, 214 nt
Organism: Oxyura jamaicensis (ruddy duck)
Lineage: Eukaryota; Metazoa; Chordata; Aves; Anseriformes; Anatidae
Exons: 3
Source: RefSeq, a predicted model, not a curated record
AGGACAACUUGGGGGCUCUGAUGGACAAAAAGCUUGACAUAUGACCACUUGCAGUCAAGAAGGUCAACUACAGCCUGGGCUGCAUCAACAGAGGAAUGGCCAGCAGCUCAAGGGAGGUGAUUGUCCCCUUCUGUUCUACCCUCGUGAAGCCCCACCUGGAAUGCUGCAUUCAGCUCUGGGGCCCCCAGCACAAGAAGGAUAUGGACAUUAUAGU